AAAAGGGCGGCGCCACGCUCAGUUCCACCACUAGUGGAAGCACGUCUGUGCCUCCUUAUAAUUGGCCUGGGAGGGGCGUCGAUCUCUUUCUCUUCCGGUCGCAGGAACGGCAGCGGCAGCCAUGAAUGACACAGUGACCAUCCGAACCAGGAAGUUCAUGACCAACAGACUUCUGCAGCGCAAGCAGAUGGUCAUUGAUGUUCUUCAUCCUGGAAAGGCCACAGUCCCCAAAACAGAAAUCAGGGAAAAGCUGGCAAAAAUGUACAAGACAACCCCUGAUGUAAUUUUCGUCUUCGGCUUCAGAACUCACUUUGGUGGUGGCAAGACAACUGGUUUUGGCAUGAUCUAUGAUUCCCUGGACUAUGCAAAGAAAAACGAACCCAAGCACAGGCUUGCCAGGCACGGCUUGUAUGAAAAGAAGAAGACUUCCAGGAAGCAGCGAAAAGAGCGUAAGAACAGGAUGAAGAAAGUCAGGGGCACAGCCAAGGCAAAUGUUGGUGCUGGCAAGAAGAAGGUAAACUCUGUGUUGUAUAGCUUGUCAUCAGCUCAGUAGCUUAGUUUUGCUCCUCACUGCUGCCAGCCUAGCUGAUAUGACAUGAAACAAUGCUUCCUAAAUUACUCUUUCCUAUGUGUCACUGUUAAACUUCAUAAAUCUAACAGUGUUGCUCUAAUCACAUAACUCAGUCUCGCAAUACACACUUGAGAUUAUCUUAACACUUGUUAAUCAGGCUGCCUAAACCCCUAAUGCUUACUCCACCCAGUUACUGUUGGUAUGGUGUUCCUUACCCAGGUAAGUUUGUUAAGGAUGUGUGGUGUAGGCAGUGAAGACAGUGUGUAAGAAAGAUAAGGUAGAAUGCCUUGGGGUUUGAGGGGCUGAUGCCCAAGGUACUGGAGCCUUCCUCUGCUGAGGCUAGACUGAUAGAGCCCCCUGGGCUGUGGCUGUGACCUCAUAAAGGCAGGUUAGGGGGAGGCAGACUUCUUCUAUCAGGAAACAGAACCAAAUCUGAGGAAUAGGUUGGGUGGGAAGCCAGUCACUUUCCCUCACAGUGUUCUGUCUUCUGAUAAAAAUUAAAUAAGCUGUGCAGGCAAGUGAGUUUUUUUCAGGUGUUUUAGCAAGGGGAGAGAGGGUAAUGGGUUGUGAUGCUUAGUUCUGUAGCUGUGAAAAUACCUUGAUAUCUUGAACUGUAGUAAUCUUCACUUUUGCUUUUUUCCUACUUUCUUGGAACUCUCCAUCAGAAAUGAAGUAUCUGCAGUAAAUGAACAUUCUUCAGGUGGACAACAGAUAACAGGCAGCAUCAUUCUAUGAAGAAAUAGAGAAUGAAUAACUCUGGAAAGCAGAGGAUGCUCAUCUGAAUUUAACAUCAAUAAAAUCUGUCAAUAAAA
Zonotrichia leucophrys gambelii is the source of this 1383-nucleotide RNA transcript. It is a transcript of the gene named ribosomal protein S24, with no coding region annotated. The record is from RefSeq and is a predicted model, not a curated record. The transcript has 7 exons. Lineage: Eukaryota; Metazoa; Chordata; Aves; Passeriformes; Passerellidae.